This is a long non-coding RNA of Planococcus citri (citrus mealybug), 1335 nucleotides long. RefSeq lists it as uncharacterized. The transcript has 2 exons. NCBI's taxonomy places the organism in Eukaryota, Metazoa, Arthropoda, Insecta, Hemiptera, Pseudococcidae. The record is from RefSeq and is a predicted model, not a curated record.
AAAGUGCGGCUUUAUAAACGAGUACUUUAUAGCCCGAGCCGUAGGCGAGGGCUAUAACGUACGAGUUUAUAACACCGCACUUUUAACCCGUGUCACAUAUACUGUUUUUCGUAAAUUAUGUGUAUAAAGAGCUCAUUAUACAACUAUAAUCAAGGGCAAAAAUCAGUAGUUAAGUAAUUCUUAUUUGUGAAGAUUUUCUAGAAAUUAAACUCAUCAACGAAGAUGGUCCGUUUGAAGCGAGCAUAAUAUUUAACCGUUCAACUAGUGCCUACGAGCAAGCACGUACAUACUAGCUAAAUGGUUUAGUGGUGUUUUGUUUUGGUUUUACUUUCAAUUUGCAUCGUGAUUUUGGAUCGGUAGUUAAGUAAUUCAUAUUUGUGAAGAUUUUCUAGAAAUUAAACUCAUCAAAGAAGAUGGUUCGUUUGAAGCGAGCAUUAUAUUUAACCGUUCAACUAGUGCCUACGAGCGAGCACAAUAUGCUAAACGGUUUAGUUGUGUUUUGUUUUAGUUUUACUUUCAAUUCUAGUCAACGAAGAUGGUCCGAACUUGGUAUACCUAUCGAUAAUUAUUGAUAGCACUGAAGAACAAUCAACAAAUUACAACACUAGACAAAUCUUCCGGAAUGUAUCAACUUGAAUAAACUACCUAGGUAUAUGAAGUCACUGAAGUAAAAGAUUUUGAAUGAGUAAGUUAGCUACGAUGAAAAUAACACAAUUUAGAUCGAAUGGAAGACGUUAUCAGUGUUUUUAGAUGAUAUUUGGAUGUAGAUACUUGAGAGUUAAAUAUGUAGAACAAAAACUCAUCGUAACUUAAUACUACUACCUUCCGUUUGUAAUUACUUACAAUUAGGAUGAUACUUAUUACUUAGAACAAAUACAAACGAGUUCGUCAUUGACAGCAUAACUUCUCUCAAUCUUUAGUUCAAGUAUAUUAUUUGUUCGUUCAUCUUCAGUAACAUUUUCUACAUUGACUUAUGCCAGUAGUAAAUUUCAAUAUUCAAUACUUUCAUCAAACAUUUCACCUUACUUACCGUGCAGAACUAAAUUGUGUUAUUUUCAUCAUAGCUAUUCAAGUUGAUAAAUUCCGGCAGAAUUGUCUAGUGUUGCUGUUGUAAUAUUUGUUGAUUGUUCUUCGGUGUUAUCAAUCAUCAAUAUACAUAUGAAGCUCGGACCGUCUUCGUUGAUGAGUUAAUUUUCUAGAAAAUCAGGUACUAUGACAAUAAAUGAAAACAAUUUAGAAAUCUAGAUCGAAUGAGAAAAUUAUCAGCGUUUUUAAGUGAUAUUCGAACAGUAGAAAUGUGACAUUUUCAUGAUUAAAGUGUAUUGAUUAUUUCAA